RNAcentral lists this ribosomal RNA (501 nucleotides) under uncultured bacterium. RNAcentral describes it as "partial 16S ribosomal RNA". It matches the Rfam family "Bacterial small subunit ribosomal RNA", at positions 30 to 523 of the family's 1533-position model. The record is from RNAcentral.
AUUGAACGCUGGCGGCAGGCUUAACACAUGCAAGUUGAGCGGGGGAAGGUAGCUUGCUACCGGACCUAGCGGCGGACGGGUGAGUAAUGCUUAGGAAUCUGCCUAUUAGUGGGGGACGACAUCUCGAAAGGGAUGCUAAUACCGCAUACGUCCUACGGGAGAAAGCAGGGGAUCUUCGGACCUUGCGCGAAUAGAUGAGCCUAAGUCGGAUUAGCUAGUUGGUGGGGUAAAGGCCUACCAAGGCGACGAUCUGUAGCGGGUCUGAGAGGAUGAUCCGCCACACUGGGACUGAGACACGGCCCAGACUCCUACGGGAGGCAGCAGUGGGGAAUAUUGGACAAUGGGGGGAACCCUGAUCCAGCCAUGCCGCGUGUGUGAAGAAGGCCUUAUGGUUGUAAAGCACUUUAAGCGAGGAGGAGGCUACUUUAGUUAAUACCUAGAGAUAGUGGACGUUACUCGCAGAAUAAGCACCGGCUAACUCUGUGCCAGCAGCCGCCGCAG